This is a long non-coding RNA of Mastomys coucha (southern multimammate mouse), 1539 nucleotides long. RefSeq lists it as uncharacterized. Lineage: Eukaryota; Metazoa; Chordata; Mammalia; Rodentia; Muridae. The record is from RefSeq and is a predicted model, not a curated record. The transcript is spliced from 7 exons.
CCCUGGGACUCCAGAACCAUUUAGACUUGCUGAGACAUUCAGUAUUAUGGAUUUAACAGCUACCAGAUCCUUGGCCUUCCCACUGUGAGACAGCCAUUGUUGGACUGCCAGAUCACAGGGAAGGUUCCAGAUGGCUGACAAGCGAAGGCACCUUGCCAGGGCCUUAUUCCAUCCACAUGAAGACAGACCUGAAGAGGAAGACAAAACCUGCUCUUAGUCCAAUUCUCUACUGAUUGAGGGUCAUUGGCUGGAAAAAUCUUUUACAUUAAAAUAAAAAGCCAGCCUGCACCCGGAGCUGAUCCUGUGCUACAGUGCCCUGACCUGAUUAAGUACCACAACAGUCCAUACCCAAAUACCAUCAGGAGAGAGCUGGUCUCCCAGGAGUGCCUACACACUUAUGAGCACAGAGUGAAGUGGACUAUCUUUCCUGGUACCCAUAUUCUUGAGUGUGACUUGGACUUUGCAACCUCGAGGUCCCUAACAGUCGCUGGCCUCCGGAUUACACUAGAUCUCACGGAAACUUUGGCCAGGUUUGUGUCAAGGGAACAAAAGCCAACCAACACAGGGACUGAGGGAAGCUUCAUCUACUUCGUGAUCUUUGUUGAGCUCCAAGCUCUUUGUCACUGAGUAUGAUGUUGGAAAAAAAUCAAAUUGACUAGAAGAGCUAAAUCGGAAGCCAGGCACAGUAGCAGAUGUCAUUCCAUCCCUUGGAAUUACAGGCAGAAGGACCAUAAGCUGACAAACAGGCUAGGCUACCUAGAAAGAACUUCCCUCAAAGGAAAAAUGAACAAAACUUAGCUGCACUUCUGUAUGGUCAUUAAGGAGUUCAAAGGAAAAUCAUCACCCAUUAACAAGGUUGGCAGAGUAUAAAGAAAGCCAGCAUGCCUGAGAAGAGGAACAUCAGAAAUCACCGACAUGUCUGAUCAGAGAAUGCACACAGAAGCCUCCCUUCCUACUUAAAGCAAAAGGACUUUCUGGGUGAUCAAGAAAAUGCCAUCUGACCUCUGUGGUUGUUAAGAGGAGCACCCUAAAGAAAUCACAGAAGAGCCGAAAGGAAAUGAAAGGUUACUGCACAGAGACAAAAGCUUUGUGUAAAGAGAGAUGGCAGUCAGAACCGCGGUCACAAUAAAAGCACAACUGUGGUUUAUCUAAUUAACACACUUGUGUACACAUAUAUGUGUGUGCAUAUUCUGGAGGACGAAGGCACCCUUUUGUAUGCAGGUUCAUGUGUAUGUACAUUUUGAGACAGGCAUUUUGAGACAUCUCUUUCUCUCUCACUGGCUUGCUAAUUCACCUAGGCUAGCUACCCAGUGAGCCCCAAGGAUGCUCCUGUCUCCACUUCCCUAGAGCUGGGAUUACAAUCAGGUACCACUGUACCCAGUGUUUUAUGUGUGUGGGUUCUGGGACUUGAACUCAGAUCUCAGUACCUCAAUCUUGUGUUCCAAGUAUUUUCCCAACCAAGCCAUCUCACCAGCUCCAUGUCUAAGGACAUGAAGUAUUUCAAUUAAACUUUGUAACAUUUAAUGGUAAUAAAAUAUG